AUUGGACGCUGGCGGCAGGCCUAACACAUGCAAGUCGAGCGGAUGAAGGGAGCUUGCUCCUUGAUUCAGCGGCGGACGGGUGAGUAAUGGCUAGGAAUCUGCCAGGUAGCGAGGGAUAGCGUCCGAAAACGGGCGCUAAUACCCCAUACGUCCUGAGGGCGAAAGUGGGGAAGCUUGGGACCUCACGCUAUCACAUGAGCCUAGGUCGGAUUAGCUAGUUGGUGGGGUAAAGGCCUACCAAGGCGACGAUCCGUAACUGGUCUGAGAGGAUGAUCAGUCACACUGGAACUGAGACACGGUCCAGACUCCUACGGGAGGCAGCAGUGGGGAAUAUUGGACAAAGGGCGAAAGCCUGAUCCAGCCAUGCCGCGUGUGUGAAGAAGGUCUUCGGAUUGUAAAGCACUUUAAGUUGGGAGGAAGGGCAGUAAGUUAAUACCUUGCUGUUUUGACGUUACCAACAGAAUAAGCACCGGCUAACUUCGUG
Molecule: ribosomal RNA, 484 nt
Filed under: uncultured bacterium
Lineage: Bacteria
Description: partial 16S ribosomal RNA
Rfam family: Bacterial small subunit ribosomal RNA
Source: RNAcentral